This 260-nucleotide ribosomal RNA is filed under the name uncultured Bacillota bacterium. RNAcentral describes it as "uncultured Firmicutes bacterium partial 16S ribosomal RNA". It matches the Rfam family "Bacterial small subunit ribosomal RNA", at positions 338 to 590 of the family's 1533-position model. The record is from RNAcentral. Lineage: Bacteria; Bacillati; Bacillota.
CCUACGGGGGGCAGCAGUAGGGAAUCUUCCACAAUGGGCGCAAGCCUGAUGGAGCAACACCGCGUGAGUGAAGAAGGGUUUCGGCUCGUAAAGCUCUGUUGUUAAAGAAGAACACGUAUGAGAGCAACUGUUCAUACGUUGACGGUAUUUAACCAGAAAGUCACGGCUAACUACGUGCCAGCAGCCGCGGUAAUACGUAGGUGGCAAGCGUUAUCCGGAUUUAUUGGGCGUAAAGAGAGUGCAGGCGGUUUUCUAAGUCU